UGGCUUACCAUGGUUUCAACGGGUAACGGGGAAUUAGGGUUUGAUUCCGGAGAGGGAGCCUGAGAAACGGCUACCACAUCCAAGGAAGGCAGCCGGCGCGCAAAUUACCCAAUCCCGACCCGGGGAGGUAGUGACAAUAAAUACUGAUACCGGGCUUUUUUGGGUCUUGUAAUUGGAAUGAGUACAAUUUAAACCCCUUAACGAGGAACAAUUGGAGGGCAAG
Molecule: ribosomal RNA, 223 nt
Filed under: uncultured Fissuroma
Lineage: Eukaryota; Fungi; Ascomycota; Dothideomycetes; Pleosporales; Aigialaceae
Description: partial 18S ribosomal RNA
Rfam family: Eukaryotic small subunit ribosomal RNA
Source: RNAcentral